This 226-nucleotide unclassified non-coding RNA is filed under the name uncultured fungus. Its description in RNAcentral is "sequence contains ITS1, 5.8S rRNA gene". The stretch from base 178 to 226 matches the Rfam family "5.8S ribosomal RNA", at positions 1 to 49 of the family's 154-position model. The record is from RNAcentral. Lineage: Eukaryota; Fungi.
UCUCCGUAGGUGAACCUGCGGAGGGAUCAUUACUGAGUGAGGGCUUCGGUCCGACCUCCAACCCUUUGUGAACCAAACUUGUUGCUUCGGGGGCGACCCUGCCGUCCGCGGCUGAGCGCCCCCGGGGUCAAUCAAACACUGCAUUCUCUGCGUCGGAGUUUAACACAAAUGAAACAAAACUUUCAACAACGGAUCUCUUGGUUCUGGCAUCGAUGAAGAACGCAGC